UUUUUGUGGAGGGUUCGAUUCUGGCUCAGGAUGAACGCUGGCGGCGUGCUUAACACAUGCAAGUCGAACGGGAUCCAUCAGGCUUUGCUUGGUGGUGAGAGUGGCGAACGGGUGAGUAAUGCGUGACCGACCUGCCCCAUGCACCGGAAUAGCUCCUGGAAACGGGUGGUAAUGCCGGAUGCUCCAUCACAUCGCAUGGUGUGUUGGGAAAGCCUUUGCGGCAUGGGAUGGGGUCGCGUCCUAUCAGCUUGAUGGCGGGGUAACGGCCCACCAUGGCUUCGACGGGUAGCCGGCCUGAGAGGGCGACCGGCCACAUUGGGACUGAGAUACGGCCCAGACUCCUACGGGAGGCAGCAGUGGGGAAUAUUGCACAAUGGGCGCAAGCCUGAUGCAGCGACGCCGCGUGAGGGAUGGAGGCCUUCGGGUUGUAAACCUCUUUUGUUAGGGAGCAAGGCACUUUGUGUUGAGUGUACCUUUCGAAUAAGCACCGGCUAACUACGUGCCAGCAGCCGCGGUAAUACGUAGGGUGCAAGCGUUAUCCGGAAUUAUUGGGCGUAAAGGGCUCGUAGGCGGUUCGUCGCGUCCGGUGUGAAAGUCCAUCGCUUAACGGUGGAUCCGCGCCGGGUACGGGCGGGCUUGAGUGCGGUAGGGGAGACUGGAAUUCCCGGUGUAACGGUGGAAUGUGUAGAUAUCGGGAAGAACACCAAUGGCGAAGGCAGGUCUCUGGGCCGUUACUGACGCUGAGGAGCGAAAGCGUGGGGAGCGAACAGGAUUAGAUACCCUGGUAGUCCACGCCGUAAACGGUGGAUGCUGGAUGUGGGGCCCGUUCCACGGGUUCCGUGUCGGAGCUAACGCGUUAAGCAUCCCGCCUGGGGAGUACGGCCGCAAGGCUAAA
This 895-nucleotide ribosomal RNA is filed under the name Bifidobacterium breve. RNAcentral describes it as "bacterial SSU rRNA". It matches the Rfam family "Bacterial small subunit ribosomal RNA", at positions 1 to 898 of the family's 1533-position model. The record is from RNAcentral. Lineage: Bacteria; Bacillati; Actinomycetota; Actinomycetes; Bifidobacteriales; Bifidobacteriaceae.